RNAcentral lists this unclassified non-coding RNA (377 nucleotides) under uncultured Acidimicrobiia bacterium. Its description in RNAcentral is "contains 16S-23S intergenic spacer region". The record is from RNAcentral. Lineage: Bacteria; Bacillati; Actinomycetota; Acidimicrobiia.
UCCGGUUUGUCACCGGCAGUCUCCUAUGAGUCCCCGACAUCACUCGCUGGCAACAUAGGACAAGGGUUGCGCUCGUUGCGGGACUUAACCCAACAUCUCACGACACGAGCUGACGACAGCCAUGCACCACCUAUCACAGGCCCCGAAGGACACCACAUCUCUGUGGCUUUUCCUGCGUAGUUCAACCCAGGUAAGGUUCUUCGCGUCGCCUCGAAUUAAGCAACAUGCUCCGCCGCUUGUACGGGCCCCCGUCAAUUCCUUUGAGUUUUAGCCUUGCGGCCGUACUCCCCAGGCGAGGUGCUUAAUGCGUUAGCUGCGGCACGGAUCCCGUCGAUAGGGACCCACACCUAGCACCCAUCGGUUACGGCGUGGACUAC